AGAGUUUGAUCCUGGCUCAGGAUGAACGCUGGCGGCGUGCUUAAUACAUGCAAGUCGAACGGAAACAGUAGCAAUAUUGUUUUAGUGGCGAACGGGUGAGUAACGCGUUGGUGACCUGCCCCGAAGAGAGGGAUAACAGUUCGAAAGGAUUGCUAAUACCUCAUGUGGUCAUAUGGUUUAGAAGCUUAUGACUAAACGGAUUUAUUCGCUUCGGGAGGGGCCUGCGUCCCAUCAGCUAGUUGGUAAGGUAAUGGCCUACCAAGGCGAUGACGGGUAGGGGACCUGAGAGGGUGGCCCCCCACAAUGGAACUGAAACACGGUCCAGACUCCUACGGGAGGCAGCAGUGGGGAAUAUUGGGCAAUGGGCGAAAGCCUGACCCAGCAACGCCGCGUG
RNAcentral lists this ribosomal RNA (394 nucleotides) under uncultured bacterium. RNAcentral describes it as "bacterial SSU rRNA". It matches the Rfam family "Bacterial small subunit ribosomal RNA", at positions 8 to 403 of the family's 1533-position model. The record is from RNAcentral.